CACGUAAGGGGCAAGCGUUGUUCGGAUUUAUUGGGCGUAAAGGGCGCGUAGGCGGGUGAUUAAGUUAGGUGUUUAACCUUCAGGCUCAACCUGAAGUCGGCACUUAAUACUGAUUAUCUUGAGUAUCGGAGGGGAAAGUGGAAUUCUUGGUGUAGCGGUGGAAUGCGUAGAUAUCAAGAGGAACACCAGUGGCGAAGGCGACUUUCUGGCCGAAUACUGACGCUGAAGCGCGAAAGCGUGGGGAGCAAACAGG
RNAcentral lists this ribosomal RNA (253 nucleotides) under uncultured bacterium. RNAcentral describes it as "partial 16S ribosomal RNA". It matches the Rfam family "Bacterial small subunit ribosomal RNA", at positions 524 to 776 of the family's 1533-position model. The record is from RNAcentral.